This 262-nucleotide ribosomal RNA is filed under the name Leifsonia sp. ISO209_OTU1136. RNAcentral describes it as "partial 16S ribosomal RNA". It matches the Rfam family "Bacterial small subunit ribosomal RNA", at positions 29 to 289 of the family's 1533-position model. Lineage: Bacteria; Bacillati; Actinomycetota; Actinomycetes; Micrococcales; Microbacteriaceae. The record is from RNAcentral.
ACGAACGCUGGCGGCGUGCUUAACACAUGCAAGUCGAACGAUGAUCCAGGAGCUUGCUCUUGGGGAUUAGUGGCGAACGGGUGAGUAACACGUGAGUAACCUGCCCUUGACUCUGGGAUAACCUCCGGAAACGGAAGCUAAUACCGGAUAUGACGUACGGAGGCAUCUCCUGUGCGUGGAAAGAACUUCGGUCAAGGAUGGACUCGCGGCCUAUCAGGUAGUUGGUGAGGUAACGGCCCACCAAGCCUACGACGGGUAGCCG